This 274-nucleotide ribosomal RNA is filed under the name uncultured bacterium. Its description in RNAcentral is "partial 16S ribosomal RNA". It matches the Rfam family "Bacterial small subunit ribosomal RNA", at positions 523 to 796 of the family's 1533-position model. The record is from RNAcentral.
AUACGGAGGGUGCAAGCGUUAUUCGGAAUCACUGGGCGUAAAGGACGCGUAGGCGGGUUGGCAAGUCAGAUGUGAAAUCCUACAGCUUAACUGUAGAACUGCAUUUGAAACUGCUAACCUAGAGUAUGUGAGGGGGAGAUGGAAUUAGUGGUGUAGGGGUAAAAUCCGUAGAUAUCACUAGGAAUACCGAAAGCGAAGGCGAUCUCCUGGAACAUAACUGACGCUAAGGCGUGAAAGCGUGGGGAGCAAACAGAAUUAGAAACCCCGGUAGUCC